RNAcentral lists this long non-coding RNA (717 nucleotides) under Musa acuminata (dwarf banana). RNAcentral describes it as "long non-coding RNA (MACU_LNC003194)". The record is from RNAcentral. Lineage: Eukaryota; Viridiplantae; Streptophyta; Magnoliopsida; Zingiberales; Musaceae.
UCAACCUGUGAACAAGGUAAACCCGAUGGAAUGGGAACCAAAAAACAGGAGGGUACCGCAUUGGGCAGAAGACGAUCAAAAAAGCGAAGGCUCACCCUUCAAAGCGCGGCGUGAGAUAGGCGACAUGUAGCUUGCUUCCAAGCCGGCCUGGCCCGGCCACAAAGAAUCGAUAGAUCUUUGCCGGAGCUGACUUGGAUCUCAGGUGACAAAAUAAGGCGACCAGAAGCAGCAAGUAACUGUGGUCGAAGCUUGGCUCUAGCCGAUAGGCUAGCAGUAAGCUUGGCUACAGCGAAGCGCUAUCGCAUAUAUUUCCAUUUAGAAGUCUCCCAUAUAAAUUCAAGUCGCCCAUAUUUCCCCAUUUCUUCUCCCUAGCUUUCAAACCUUCUUUUUCAUUUUUCCAUACCUUCUUUUCUGUAUCUCGCAAAUAAGAUAUUGAGUUUCUAAGAACCCUUAUUAUGCAUGUCUCGUGGAUCGAUGUUCCACAUAUAUACUCGACUUUCAUUCUGUAGGAGACCAACUUUUUAAAAUUACUGCCUACGGAAGAGCAAUUUGCUCUAACCAAACCCACUCAAUCAAGUAAAUCAACAAAAGGACAACGAUGAAGACUUUCCUUCCUUUUUUCUACGAUCUAGUUAUCAACAAUAAUAUCUAAUUGGGCAUAACAUCAGAUAAAAGGAAACUCUUAGUGGACAAGGAGGAAAAGGGAGAAGAUCUAAC